UGCAAAAUGAUGAGAAACUUUAAUCUGAAUUUUAAUUGUUGAAUUCAUUUAUAUUACCUUCAAAGUUCUCUGAUUGCU
Small nucleolar RNA from Lactuca sativa (garden lettuce), 78 nucleotides. RefSeq annotates it as small nucleolar RNA R160. The record is from RefSeq and is a predicted model, not a curated record. NCBI's taxonomy places the organism in Eukaryota, Viridiplantae, Streptophyta, Magnoliopsida, Asterales, Asteraceae.